UACGUAGGGUGCAAGCGUUGUCCGGAAUUAUUGGGCGUAAAGAGCUUGUAGGCGGUUUGUCGCGUCUGCUGUGAAAUUUCGGGGCUCAACCCCGAACUUGCAGUGGGUACGGGCAGACUAGAGUGUGGUAGGGGAGACUGGAAUUCCUGGUGUAGCGGUGAAAUGCGCAGAUAUCAGGAGGAACACCCGUGGCGAAAGCGGCUCUCUGGGACGGUACUGACGCAGAGACGCGAAAGCGUGGGGAGCGAACAGG
This 253-nucleotide ribosomal RNA is filed under the name uncultured bacterium. RNAcentral's name for it is "partial 16S ribosomal RNA". It matches the Rfam family "Bacterial small subunit ribosomal RNA", at positions 524 to 776 of the family's 1533-position model. The record is from RNAcentral.